AACCGCGGUUACACGGGGGGCUCAAGUUGACAGACGCCGGCGUAAAGCGUGGUUAGGGAAACAUUUUAAACUAAAGCCGAACGUCCUCAGAGCAGUUCAACGCUUCCGAGUUAAGAAGACCUAUCACGAAAGUAGCUUUACCUUACCUGACCCCACGAAAGCUGUGGCA
RNAcentral lists this ribosomal RNA (169 nucleotides) under Neopomacentrus cyanomos (regal demoiselle). RNAcentral describes it as "partial 12S rRNA". Lineage: Eukaryota; Metazoa; Chordata; Actinopteri; Pomacentridae. The record is from RNAcentral.